This 200-nucleotide ribosomal RNA is filed under the name uncultured bacterium. RNAcentral's name for it is "partial 16S ribosomal RNA". It matches the Rfam family "Bacterial small subunit ribosomal RNA", at positions 328 to 539 of the family's 1533-position model. The record is from RNAcentral.
ACGCUCGACACCUACGGGGGCAGCAGUGGGGAAUAUUGGGCAAUGGAGGCAACUCUGACCCAGCAAUGCCGCGUGAAUGAUGAAGGUCUUCGGAUUGUAAAGUUCUGUGACGGGGGACGAACACAAUGACGGUACCCCGAUAGCAAGCCACGGCUAACUACGUGCCCGCAGCCGCGGUAAUCUGAGCGGGCUGGCAAGGC